This 460-nucleotide ribosomal RNA is filed under the name uncultured bacterium. Its description in RNAcentral is "partial 16S ribosomal RNA". It matches the Rfam family "Bacterial small subunit ribosomal RNA", at positions 338 to 795 of the family's 1533-position model. The record is from RNAcentral.
CCUACGGGAGGCAGCAGUGAGGAAUAUUGGUCAAUGGGCGGAAGCCUGAACCAGCCAAGUAGCGUGCAGGAUGAUGGCCCUACGGGUUGUAAACUGCUUUUAUACGGGAAUAACGCGCCUUACGUGUAGGGCUUUGCAUGUACCGUAUGAAUAAGGACCGGCUAAUUCCGUGCCAGCAGCCGCGGUAAUACGGAAGGUCCGGGCGUUAUCCGGAUUUAUUGGGUUUAAAGGGAACGUAGGCCGCAUGUCAAGCGUGCUGGGAAAGGUCCGGGCUCAACCCGGGCCUUGCAGCGCGAACUGGCGUGCUUGAGCCCGCGGAAGGCAGGCGGAAUUCGUCGUGUAGCGGUGAAAUGCUUAGAUAUGACGAAGAACCCCGAUUGCGAAGGCAGCUUGCUGCAGCGGAACUGACGCUGAUGCUCGAAAGCGCGGGUAUCGAACAGGAUUAGAUACCCGGGUAGUC